GCGAGGCGAGCUGACGGAGCAUGCCGCGUGGAGGAUGAAAGCCUAUGGGUUGUAAACUCCUUUUCUCAGAGAAGAAAUUUUGACGGUAUCUGAGGAAUAAGCAUCGGCUAACUCCGUGCCAGCAGCCGCGGUAAUACGGGGGAUGCAAGUGUUAUCCGGAAUAAUUGGGCGUAAAGCGUCUGUAGGUGGUUGACCAAGUCUGUUGUUAAAAAUCAGGGCUCAACCCUGAUCCGGCAACAGAAACUAGUAAACUUGAGUACGGUAGGGGCAGAGGGAAUUCUCGGUGUAGUGGUGAAAUACGUAGAUAUCGAGAAGAACACCAAUAGCGAAAGCACUCUGCUGGGCCGAAACUGACAUUGAGAGACGAAAGCUAGGGGAGCAAAAGGGAUUAGAUACCCCUGUAGUCCUAGCCGUAAACGAUGGAUACUAAGUGCUGUGCGACUCAAAACGUCCAGUGCUGUAGCUAACGCGUGAAGUAUCCCGCCUGGGGAGUAUGCUCGCAAGAGUGAAACUCAGAGGAAUUGACG
This 527-nucleotide ribosomal RNA is filed under the name uncultured bacterium. RNAcentral's name for it is "bacterial SSU rRNA". It matches the Rfam family "Bacterial small subunit ribosomal RNA", at positions 374 to 915 of the family's 1533-position model. The record is from RNAcentral.